CUACGGGCGGCUGCAGUGGGGAAUAUUGCACAAUGGGCGCAAGCCUGAUGCAGCCAUGCCGCGUGUAUGAAGAAGGCCUUCGGGUUGUAAAGUACUUUCAGCGGGGAGGAAGGGAGUAAAGUUAAUACCUUUGCUCAUUGACGUUACCCGCAGAAGAAGCACCGGCUAACUCCGUGCCAGCAGCCGCGGUAAUACGGAGGGUGCAAGCGUUAAUCGGAAUUACUGGGCGUAAAGCGCACGCAGGCGGUUUGUUAAGUCAGAUGUGAAAUCCCCGGGCUCAACCUGGGAACUGCAUCUGAUACUGGCAAGCUUGAGUCUCGUAGAGGGGGGUAGAAUUCCAGGUGUAGCGGUGAAAUGCGUAGAGAUCUGGAGGAAUACCGGUGGCGAAGGCGGCCCUCUGGUCGAAGACUGACGCUCAGGUGCGAAAGCGUGGGGAGCAAACAGGAUUAGAUACCCCCGUAGUC
RNAcentral lists this ribosomal RNA (464 nucleotides) under uncultured bacterium. RNAcentral's name for it is "partial 16S ribosomal RNA". It matches the Rfam family "Bacterial small subunit ribosomal RNA", at positions 339 to 795 of the family's 1533-position model. The record is from RNAcentral.